This 553-nucleotide ribosomal RNA is filed under the name uncultured bacterium. Its description in RNAcentral is "bacterial SSU rRNA". It matches the Rfam family "Bacterial small subunit ribosomal RNA", at positions 777 to 1345 of the family's 1533-position model. The record is from RNAcentral.
AAUAGAUACCCCGGUAGUCCACGCCGUAAACGAUGGAUGCUAGCUGUUAUCGGUAUCGACCCCGGUAGUGGCGAAGCUAACGCGUUAAGCAUCCCGCCUGUGGAGUACGGUCGCAAGACUAAAACAUAAAGGAAUUGACGGGGACCCGCACAAGCGGUGGAGCGUGUUGUUUAAUUCGAUGGUAAGCGAAGAACCUUACCCAGGUUUGACAUCCUUGGAAGUUUUCCGAAAGGAAAAUGUGCUUUUGAACCAAGUGACAGGUGAUGCACGGCCGUCGUCAGCUCGUGUCGUGAGAUGUUUGGUUAAGUCCAUCAACGAGCGCAACCCUUGUGAUUAGUUGGAUUUUUCUAAUCAGACUGCCCUGGCAACAGGGAGGAAGGAGGGGAUGAUGUCAGGUCCGUAUCUCCCUUAUAUCUGGGGCCACAAACACGCUACAAUGGCCGGUACAAAGGGCAGCCAAGUCGCGAGACGGAGCAAAUCCCAUCAAAGCCGGUCCCAGUUCGGAUAGCAGGCUGAAACCCGCCUGCUUGAAGUCGGAAUCGCUAGUAACGGU